GUCCACGCCGUAAACGAUGGGUGCUAGGUGUGGGGGGUGUCGACUCCCCCCGUGCCGAAGCUAACGCAUUAAGCACCCCGCCUGGGGAGGUACGGCCGCAAGGCUAAAACUACAAAGGAAUUGACGGGGGCCCGCACAAGCAGCGGAGCAUGUGGUUUAAUUCGACGCGACGCGAAGAACCUUACCAAGGCUUGACAUGCACGGGAAUGUCGGAGAAAUUCGGCAGCCCUUCGGGGCUCGUGCACAGGUGGUGCAUGGCUGUCGU
This 265-nucleotide ribosomal RNA is filed under the name uncultured bacterium. RNAcentral's name for it is "partial 16S ribosomal RNA". It matches the Rfam family "Bacterial small subunit ribosomal RNA", at positions 793 to 1055 of the family's 1533-position model. The record is from RNAcentral.